UAAAUUUGCUACUAGCUUGUUUAAAAUAAAGUUUUUUCCAACUUAAAAAAAGAUAAAUGCCAUGUUUUCACACGAGCUCCACUUUUCGGUUCGUUUUGUUUUGAAGCAAUCUGUGACCGUUACCACAGAUGAUAGAUAAUACCAGAUGUAUCACUCUAUACCUAUUCCUAUGAUUUUCGUGUCCGCGAUUUUCGCGAGGCUAUCACGCCAGAUGACGCGUGCGACACUUACUGCCAAAAUAGCGCUUACUGCCAAAAUGCGUGAUUGCUCACGUUUCAUGGCGUGCCGGAUUACACUUACUGCCAAUAUGGCGGCCAACGCGUGCUCAUUAAAACAACACGGACACAAUUUUGGCUGAGUGAGACAUCUGGUAUUAUAUAUCAUCUGUGCCGUUACUAGGCGACUGCUUUAAGCUGAUUGGUUGAUUUUGGAUUCCAUUGCUUUUUCUACCAAUCAGAUCAGUUCGUCACAGAUUUUUGCACUGUUGUUACACAUUUUCGUACUGUCGUUACAGAAUCUUGCACUGCUGAUUGAGAUUAACUGCACUGAAAUCAACCAAUCACAGUCGAGUAAUAUUUUUAUGUAUAUUAUUAGUGAAAUAGAUAAUCUUUUUCCAAAUGAUUGUUUGCAGGUAUUUAUGGAACUAAAUGAACACAAUCAUGGUGAAGUAUCGGUAUUUUACUGCGGAAACCCUGCUCUUGGAACAACGCUGAGACGACAGUGUGAGAAAUACAAAUUUGAAUUUCGUUCUGAGAAAUUCUAGGAACUGAGUUGCAGAGAUAUUGGCUGGGGCAACAUUGGAAGGAACAGUAUAUCAAUGCUGUAUUUUUUUAAUAAAAGUAUCUCAUCUGUGAAUUUUUAACAUUUUAAUGGUUUAACAUCAAGCACAUCUAACUGGCAUUUAUAACUAUAGGAGUAACUACAGGUUAAAGUACCAUCAAUGUCUAUACUGCAGUUACUGGUGUACAACUGUGCACAUGCAAUGACUUAUAGAAUUUUCUAGCUUGGUCUUGUAAUAGUAUGUAAUGUUGAAUACAUUGUAAGACAGUUUGUAAGAUCAUGCCGUUUUUUUAUAUUUUAAAGUCUG
Non-coding RNA from Paramuricea clavata, 1087 nucleotides. Lineage: Eukaryota; Metazoa; Cnidaria; Anthozoa; Malacalcyonacea; Plexauridae. The record is from the annotation of a GenBank genome assembly.